GUAAUGGAGAGUUUGAUCCUGGCUCAGAAUGAACGCUGGCGGCGCGCCUAACACAUGCAAGUCGAGCGAGAAAGCUCCUUCGGGAGCGAGUAUAGCGGCGGACGGGUGAGUAACACGUGAGAAUUUCCCCUUCAGUGAAGAAUACCUUCGAGAAAUCGAAGUUAAUACUGCAUAAACCCCUUCGGGGGCAAAGGUGGCCUCUUGCUACCGCUGAAGGAUAAGCUUGCGGACUAUCAGUUUGUUGGUGGGGUAAAGGCCUACCAAGACUAUAACGGUUAACCGGCCUGAGAGGGUGUACGGUCACAAUGGAACUGAGACACGGUCCAUACUCCUACGGGAGGCAGCAGUGAGGAAUAAGGAAUAUUGCGCAAUGGGCGAAAGCCUGACGCAGCGACGCCGCGUGGGGGAUGAAGGUCUUCGGAUUGUAAACUCCUGUUAAGUGGGAAGAAAAGCCUGGCCAUAAUACGGCCAGGUGUUGACGGUACCGCUAAAGAAAGCACCGGCUAACUUCGUGCCAGCAGCCGCGGUAAUACGAGGGGUGCAAGCGUUAUUCGGAAUUAUUGGGCGUAAAGGGUGUGUAGACGGCAUGUUAAGUCAAUUGUUAAAUUCUCCGGCCUAACCGGAGGCAAGCGGUAGAUACUGAUAUGCUAGAGGAUGGAAGAGAGAAGUGGAAUUCUCGGAGUAGCGGUAAAAUGCGUGGAUCUCGAGAGGAACACCGAUGGCGAAGGCAGCUUCUUGGUCCACUCCUGACGUUGAAACACGAAAGUGUGGGGAGCAAACAGG
RNAcentral lists this ribosomal RNA (783 nucleotides) under Candidatus Babelota bacterium. Its description in RNAcentral is "bacterial SSU rRNA". It matches the Rfam family "Bacterial small subunit ribosomal RNA", at positions 1 to 776 of the family's 1533-position model. The record is from RNAcentral.